UUUAUUGUUUUCCUCUUCUCUUGUGCUUCUUCUUCAUUCCUUUGUCUUGUAAGGGAGGUUGCUAGUUGGAAGGUUUUUGAAGCUUGGUUUUCAGCUGGGCUAUCUUUUCAACACUCUCUUUUCCAGCCAUCAUAGAUCGUUUUAGGGAGUGGUCUUGAAUCUCAUUUUGCAAUUAGGCCAAUACCAGAUCAAGAGUAGUAGACCGUGAUGGAUCUUGAAAGACUGCCUGUAGAUGUUGCUUGUCCUGUGUAAAAUUGUAGUCCUUGUCAUUGUCUAUCACUAUGUUCCUGUAUUUUGUAUUUCUGGACUUCUUGUAUCUUUGCAUUGUAUACUUUAUAGAGUCUGUAAUCCUGU
Long non-coding RNA from Dioscorea cayenensis subsp. rotundata (Guinea yam), 354 nucleotides. RefSeq lists it as uncharacterized. Lineage: Eukaryota; Viridiplantae; Streptophyta; Magnoliopsida; Dioscoreales; Dioscoreaceae. The transcript has 3 exons. The record is from RefSeq and is a predicted model, not a curated record.